RNAcentral lists this ribosomal RNA (324 nucleotides) under uncultured Chloroflexota bacterium. RNAcentral's name for it is "bacterial SSU rRNA". It matches the Rfam family "Bacterial small subunit ribosomal RNA", at positions 1044 to 1384 of the family's 1533-position model. Lineage: Bacteria; Bacillati; Chloroflexota. The record is from RNAcentral.
CAUGGCUGUCGUCAGCUCGUGCCGUGAGGUGUUCGGUUAAGUCCUGCAACGAGCGCAACCCUCGUGGUUAGUUGAAUUUCUCUAGCCAGACCGCCCGCAAAACGGGGAGGAAGGUGGGGAUGACGUCAAGUCAGCAUGGCCCUUAUACCCUGGGCCACACACACGCUACAAUGGACGGUACAAUUGGUAGCGACAGAGCGAUCUGGAGCCAAUCUAUAAAGCCGUCCUCAGUUCGGAUUGCAGGCUGCAACUCGCCUGCAUGAAGCCGGAGUUGCUAGUAACCGCAGGUCAGCAUACUGCGGUGAAUACGUUCUCGGGCCUUGU